Molecule: ribosomal RNA, 372 nt
Filed under: uncultured bacterium
Lineage: Bacteria
Description: bacterial SSU rRNA
Rfam family: Bacterial small subunit ribosomal RNA
Source: RNAcentral
ACGGAGGGAGCUAGCGUUGUUCGGAAUUACUGGGCGUAAAGAGUACGUAGGCGGUGAUUCAAGUCAGAGGUGAAAGCCUGGAGCUCAACUCCAGAACUGCCUUUGAAACUAGAUCGCUAGAAUCAUGGAGAGGUUAGUGGAAUUCCGAGUGUAGAGGUGAAAUUCGUAGAUAUUCGGAAGAACACCAGUGGCGAAGGCGACUAACUGGACAUGUAUUGACGCUGAGGUACGAAAGCGUGGGGAGCAAACAGGAUUAGAUACCCUGGUAGUCCACGCCGUAAACGAUGAUAACUAGCUGUUCGGGCUCUCAGAGCCUGAGUGGCGCAGCUAACGCAUUAAGUUAUCCGCCUGGGGAGUACGGUCGCAAGAUUA